RNAcentral lists this ribosomal RNA (430 nucleotides) under uncultured Bacteroidota bacterium. RNAcentral's name for it is "bacterial SSU rRNA". It matches the Rfam family "Bacterial small subunit ribosomal RNA", at positions 396 to 823 of the family's 1533-position model. The record is from RNAcentral. Lineage: Bacteria; Pseudomonadati; Bacteroidota.
GCCGCGUGCAGGAUGACGGCCCUAUGGGUUGUAAACUGCUUUUAUACAGGAAGAAAAACUCCCACGUGUGGGAGCUUGACGGUACUGUAAGAAUAAGGAUCGGCUAACUCCGUGCCAGCAGCCGCGGUAAUACGGAGGAUCCAAGCGUUAUCCGGAAUCAUUGGGUUUAAAGGGUCCGUAGGCGGUUUUUUAAGUCAGAGGUGAAAUCUUGCAGCUCAACUGUAGAAUUGCCUUUGAUACUGAAAGACUUGAGUUAUUGUGAAGUGGUUAGAAUGUGUGGUGUAGCGGUGAAAUGCAUAGAUAUCACACAGAAUACCAAUUGCGAAGGCAGAUCACUAACUCUAUACUGACGCUCAGGGACGAAAGCGUGGGUAGCGAACGGGAUUAGAUACCCUGGUAGUCCACGCCGUAAACGAUGGAUACUAGCUGU